AAUCACGAACUUGCCAACUCGAUCAAAACUGCAAAACAGCAGAGAAAACCAUAAAAAAAAUCCAAAUCUCAAUUUUUAAACCAAGCUUGAAACGAGUCACACCAGGUUUGCUAUUUUUGGUGAAGUUUGAACUCCCUGGAGCUCCGUUGGAUCUCGGCAGUUAGCGAAAUAAUGUUUUCCCAGUGAGAUUUUGCCAGAAAACUAGAAACGAAAGAGAAUUCAAAGAUUUUGAGGGUGCGGAUGGUCUAAUUCCGGUAAGGGAAUACCAAUUCCGGUGAGAAACUCGCCGGAAAAACCAAACCAGCCGUCCUUGAUUUGAAGGUAAUAUGUUUCCUAUUUUAUCAAAGAAAACUUGUGAGUUAAAAAACAUGGUGGAUGGCUUGUGUCUUUAGCUUUCGCGACAAUCGCUCUUGCCCCAGUCACAUUUAACCUUGCUUCCAACUAUUAGCAUAUGUCAUUGACUUGUUGCAUCAGUGAUCCAAAUUCAUAUUAGGAAGAGUGACUCUGCCACAAACACAGUAUCUCUGCUUUGCCAUGUUUCUCAGUUAAACCCUUUGAACAAUGGUAUUUCUGUGGGUUCCCAGACUUGUCUGUUGACAAAACUCUCUACAUGUCCUUUUUUUUUCAGCUCACAAUCAUGUCUCUUUCUUGCGCUGGCCUUUUUGUCUUGCUUUGUACAAUUGAAGAAGUUGGUAGCCAAUUUUAAAAUCUUUUUUCACUUGUUUCGACAUGGACUAGACUCAAAGACAAGAGCAAAAAUGACCAUGAUUUUUUAUUUGGAUAACUGACUCAAGAAAAAUAAAAUAAAAAUAAAAUAAAGAGAAGAAAGAAAAGACAAUGAAUGUCCCCAUUAAAAAAAAAUAAUGAAAAAUGUAUCUAAAAAUGAGAGUUAACUCUAAUGAUUAUGCCAUGCAUUUUGGAUUAAGCUGCCUGAUCUUUCAUCCAAACCUUCUACUAAUUGUUAUUGAGUUAAUGACCUUGAAACUGAAUUGCUUCCUUGGGCCAAUUUGCAUUCAAAAAUCUCAUUUGGCUAGUGGCACCUUGAAGGGUUUUCGCCAACAAGCCUCUCUCAUCUUCUUUUCCUCAACUCACCAUAGUCUUAUGGUGUCUGUAAGAGUUUUCACCAACGAGACUCUCUUAUCUUCAUUUCUCUCAACUCACAGUCGUCUUACGAUGCCCGUGAGAGUUUUCACCGAUAAGACUCUCUCAUUUUUACUGCUCUCUUGAUUUCUUAUGCCGAGGAAGACAAGUGGUUCCCAAAUGCAUCAUCAUAUCCCUUGUAUUCUUAGCCUUAACAUCCUCAAAGAUUGAUCCGAAGGUCUUUCUUUGGUUGUAACUUGGCUUUUGGAUAGGGUUAGAAAGAAGGGAUGGCAUGGGGCCCAAACGACACUUAAAGUGGGGUAGGACUUACAACUUUUAAAAUCGACUCAAAUAAUGAGGAUUAACUCAUGCCCCAGUUUUUAACUAUGCAAUUCUAAAUCAUUUAUUUGGUUGGCCCGAGCCCUAAGUAGGGCAGCCUACGUAUCUCACCCCCGGUAGAGGAGAAUCAAGUCAUGCGUAGUUCUGCCAACUUAUUUUGCUUGAUUCUGAUUUCUUUUUUCUUUUGACUUCUUUUUUUUUUCUUUGUAAUUUUUCUGACUCUAUUUACUUACUCUUUUCUUCCUUCUUGGACACAUUUUCCUCUUUUUUUUUUAACUUUCUGACACUACUCUCUUGCUCGAUACUUUUCUUUUGAACUUUGUUGGUUUUAUCUUGAUUCCAAAAAAAGGGUAUGAAAGAAAAUAACACUAAGGCUUAAAUGGGGUAAACAAAGGAUGACACAAUGUUUAGAUAGCAGAAUAAAAUGUCUUCGUCAUAUCAAUCCUUGAAAAUGCACGUACAUAUCAUGCAAUAUGAAAGUGAAAGAUGAAGAUCAUUUGACACCUUAACAACACUAUCUUUAAUUGAACAUGUGUGCUACUUCUUCCUCUACACUUCUCAAACAUAUAACUCCACCUUUGUUGUAUAUCCCUUACAUUGAAUGACUCAUACUUUCGUCGAGUUGAUUUUCUUUAUAUUCCUCUUGAUAGGAUCACGCAGACACUGUUUGACCUAAUCGAGACAUGUCUUUUAAUUGACGACCAAGUUAUUCUUGUGAUUCUCAAAAUAAUUGCCUUAAUUUUUAGAAAAGGCUUUAACUUGUCACCAAAUAUCUCAGCACUCUACUAUUUUCUUAGAUGUUUCUCCUAACUUUAGCCCUCUGAUUCAAUGUUCAUGCUUAAACUGCAUUUUAAGAUCUGACUGAAAAUUCUGCAGGCAUGUCAUAUUACUAGAAUCAACAUAAAAUAUGUUGUAUAAAGAAAACAAACAAACAACACAUUUGAAACAUAAAAGGAAAGGGACACUUCAUUUAGUUGAAAUAAAAGAUAAAAGGGUUUGAACAUAAACGACGAAGGGACAAACAAGAUAGAUCUCGAACUACAACCCUGAAAUACUUCAAAAAAUAAAAAAGAAAACAAAACAAACUACCAGACCUCUUCCUAGUAGGGAGAUGGGUGACUUCUCAUUUGCUCAGCCUGACAACUUAGCCACUGGUUUGCAUAUCAACAUGACCAGAGCUUCCCUCACUGUCAAUGUUCUGCACCAUAAUCGAUCCAUCUUGAAUCAUCUUUUCAAUUUCCCUUUUCAAAUCUCUACAAUCUUUAAUACUAUGACCCUGAGCAUCAGAAUUAUACGCACAUCAUACAUUAGGGUCAAAAUUUCUUGAACGUCGAUUAAGAGUGCACCCAAGGAAAGGAGUGUUCAUUCUCCACUAUACCAAUUUCUGAAACAAACUGGCAUACGACUCUCUAAUUGGUGUGAAGCUAUCUCUCGACUUCUGCCUCAUUUCAUCAUUUGGCUUGGAUCAAAAAUCAGGCGUAGAAGGGUUUUGGUAUAUUUGUGAAGUUAGAGGAUGACUCUGAAUUGUUGGUGUUUUCCACUGUGGGUAAGAUGGGGGUUGAUUAUGUGGUUGUGCAUUAUAUACUGAAUAUGGAGGUGGAGGAGCAGAGUAUAAUGGAUUUUAGGAGUGAUUAUGUGGAGCUUGGGCAGGACCUUGGGUUUGAGCCUGAGAGUGGCGACAACGGGGUCUUCUUGACCGUGCCCACUGUCCAACUACAAUAGAGGAUGCAACUUCCUCAUUCUUUGUCUCCACAACACUUCCUGAACCCUUUUGAAUUGCUUGAGUUGUCACUUUCAAUGUUGCAAAACUCACAAUGUGACCAGUCUUAAUUCCCCCUUCUAUCAUCUCCCCAUUUUAAGGACCUCAAUAAAUGACUUGCCUAAUGCAGGUAACAAGUGUUGAUAAUAUAUUUCAUCCUGUGCUUGAAUAAAUACCUUUGCUAUUUUGCUUUCUUUCAUUGGCGGUUUUACUCUCACAGCUUGUUCGCGCCAUCUGAACGCAUACUUUCUGAAACUCUCAGUAUUCUUCUUUUUUAUACUAGUUAGGGAUUUUUCGUCAGAGAUCAACUCCACAUUGUAUUGAAAUUGUUAAAAAAAUUCAUUAGCUAGGUCAUCCCAACUAAUCUACUUGUCAAUGUCUUGGUCAACAAACCAUUUCGAAGCUAGGCCUGAAAGACUCUCCCAGAAAUAAUCCUUGAGUAGUUCUUCCUUCCCUCUAGUGCCCCUCAAUUGGUUAUAAUAGCGACUCAAAUGUGCCACUGGGUCCCCAUGUCCAUCAUAGUUCUCAACCUUUGGCAAUUUAAAGCCAGGUGGAAGGUUGACACCUGGAAACAUGCAUAAGUCCUUAUAUGAGACACUUAUGUAACCCUCAAGUCCUUGCAAGUUCUUCAUAGCCAGUUCCAAACUUCUCAAUUUUUGGUCAUUUUUCCUCUUGUCCUUCUUUCAUAACAAGCUUCUUAGUGUUAGGAGGAAAUUCAAGCGGGUGAGUGUCACUGUAAAGACCAGUCAACUUGAAUGUAGGCUCGAAAGUGUAAUGCUGAUCACCAAUAAUAUUCAAUGCAGGCUUUCUUGUAGAGUAGGGAGGCACAACUUGUGGACGAACAUCAAAAGUAGGAGCUUCAGGUGGUGGUGGCACCGCAAAAGCAUAAACAACAGGUGGAGCCGAGUAUGUGGUAGUCUUGGAUUAGGGAGUGAGGAAAUGAACAUUAGAAGUGGUUGGGUAUUGUUGCCCCCGAGUCGAUCCUGAUGCAUGUUGUGGCAUAUCAACAAAAAUGGGAAAUUGUGCAUAUGACACGAGAGGCAAGAUGGAAAGAUAUUCCAGAUUAUCAUUGGGAACUGGAGGAGGAGGUAACCCAUUAGCCCAAGCUCGAUGCAUUCCUAUCAUUUGCUGCCUCAAUUUUCGAAUCACUUCAUUAGCUCCUACAUUCUCACUUCCCAAACUCCCUAUCUGAUUAGUGACAACAAACUCGGUAUCCUUGUUAGCCAUAACCUUCUCUAUGACUUGGUGCAAUAUGGAGGACCCGCUAAAAUGCCACAACCCAACCACCUCAAACUAACUGAACAAGAGAUAGCAAAUGUGUUAGAGUUCAACACUUUCUCAAAAUCUCUCCUUUUUUUUCUUUUUUAAAAGGUCACCGAACCCAAGAAGGGUGUCUACGUAUCUCAGCCCCCGAGAGAGGAGAAUCAGGUGUGCGUAGUUCGUGAAAUCUUGCCAAAAUGGUCAAAUAAACUCUUUUUCUUUUUCUUGAAACUUUAAAAAUAAAAGGAAAUAACAAAUUGUCAAAAGAAUUGACGAAAAUCUUUUUUGCAUUUUUUGGCUUUAAUAACCUAUACAAAAUGAAACCUAUGAUUACCAAAGAAAAGUCAUUUUGGAUUUUCGAUUUUAAAUUUCAUAUGAAAAUAAAACUUGAAACUAUUAAAGGAAAAUGUUUUUGUAGUUUUCUUUUAGAGAUUUAUAUAAGACACUUACUUUAAAUAAAGAGUGAAGAAAAUCUUUUAGAAUUUUUCAAAUAAGAUCUCCGAACCAAAAAUAGGUUGCCUACAUAUCUCACAUCCCGAAAGAGGAGAAUCAGGGGUGCGUAGUUUGUCCAGAUUGGAUAAUUAAUGAUUAAAUAACCAACUAAACCCGGACUUGAGAGACCAGACCACAAACAGAAGAUGAAAAACAUCAAUAAAAUCUUUUUAAGUUUUCAAUUUGAGUCUUAACCUAAAAAUGACACCAAUAAAUAUGCAAGGAAAAUCUUUUUGAUACUUUCGUUAUAUGAAAUGUAUAAAACUUCUAUCAGUUUUUAAAUUUUUCUUUUAUAAAAGGCUCCUAUUGAAAAAAAAUCUUUUUAAAAUUUUUGAAUUAUGAAUGCAUGCUAAAGGAGACAAAGCAAAAAACUUUCUGAUGUUUUUGAUUUUAGACAAAUGAGUGCAAAAGGAAAAAAAAUCUUUCUGAAUUUUGAAUUUUGAAAAACAAAAGCCAUAAAGAACUCUAAAAACUAGAAACUCUCUUUUUUUUCUUUUCGACUCACUAUUCUUCUUUUUUUUUCUUUACUUCUAACACAUGUUUUCCCCAAAUUAGUCCAUCAAAUGACCAUAUUACCCUCAAAGAUGCAACAAUUAACACGUAGGGAUGCUUUAGAGGCGAGUCUCCUACAAAAGGCCAAGUGGGCCCCGUUAGGUCUUCAAUAUGAUGCAUAUAAACAUGACCUAAAGGCUGACCUACGUUGGGGUUCACUAACAAGGCUGUUCGGAGGAGCGUAUAUUCGAUAGUGGUUGCUUUGCUUUCCAUCUACUCAAUAACACCGAUGGCUCCUCCCAUAAAAUAAGGGUGACUCAACUAGAGGUCGUGUGCAAUACAUGUACUAUGGACUUGUUGCAGAAAGAAUGACUCGGGCUAUGCACAUGAUGCUAGAUAUAAAGUAGUAACACAUAAGAUAAAACUGUAAACAAAGAGCAUGUAGGCACUCAAAAAAAAAAACAAAAAGCAACACAAACAUAUGUCUAUACACCUAUAGUGACAAACUAAGCUGAUACAACUCCAAAUUAAGCUCUAAUUCUGAAAAUAGAUCUCCAGCAGAGUCGCCAGAGCUGUCACACCUCUUUUAAACUCCAAAAAGAUAUUAUUUUAAAAGUUUGAAAGGGUUUUCGUUAUAAAAGUGACAAAAGAUAAAAAUUUGCUUCGAAAAGGACCUUUUAUAUUCAAAACUCAGAGUCGCCACUUGGCAUAAUCCGGUGUGCCAAGUCACCUUUGGAAAAUCCUUUUCAAAAUGAUUUGACUCAAACUGGUUUGCUAACAGAGAUUUUGACUAAGGAAUUUUGUUGACAGACGGGAAGGUGUUAGGCACCCCUCGAUCCUGUGAUUUGAACGCGGUCGCUUGUUGGAGCAUAUCGGCUAAUUUGACACCACGAAUGUAUAAACCACACAAAAGCACGCAAAACAAUCAAUCAAGCAAAAAAAAAUAAAAACAAUCCAAAAUUUGGUGUCCAGUCCAAUUUAUUACAAAUCGAAAUAGAAAAUACUGAAAUAAACCUACACUAACCUAUACUAGUCCUAAAUUAUACUCUACCCGAUGCCUUGGUCCUUCAUCACAGACAUCCUCCGUGUACAAAAUACCUCAGGGCAUUCCCCAACGAAUAAACACAAAUACCUCGGGGCAUUCCCCAGCCAAAUGAAUACAUUUUUAAUGCAAGAAGACCACAAUCAUUCAAUAAUAUUUCAAACAUUCCAUAUUUUAUAAUCCCUAAAUUUGCUUAUCACCCCUAUUGUUUGCCUAUCGAUUUGACGACCUAAUCUUGAUACUAUCAAGUUCGAUGACAUCAAUGAAUCAAAAUUAGUCCGUAUUCAUUUUUUUACUUUUCAAAUCCCAUCUCACUUUUAUUCUUGAUCAAUUAACCAAUUCCAAUACAGAAUCAAAACUACGAUAAUCAUAGACGUUCAAACAUACUAUAAAAAAUUAUAUCAUCAAUCAACAUGAACCACGCAACUCACAACAUCACCUCACCAAAUUAAGUAAAACAAAGAGAAGGAGUUGAAGAAUUGGACCUUAGAAGAAGCUUUCAAAAUUGAUGUAUUAUUCCAAUAAAAACCCGGUACAAUCCGCGUCGAGAACCUUGAUUCAUACCUCAAUCACGAACUUGCCAACUCGAUCAAAACCCCAAAACAGCGGAGAAAGCCACAAAAAAAAUCCAAAUCUCAAUUUUUGAACCAAGCUUGAAAUGAGUCAUGCCAGGUUUGUUAUUUUUGGUGAAGUUCGAACUCGCUGAAGCUCCGAUGGAUCUCGACAGUCAGCGAAACAAUGUUUUCCCAGUGAGAUUUUGCCAGAGAACUAGAAAUGAAAGAGAAUUCGAAGAUUUUGAGGGUGCGGAUGGUCUAAUUCCGGUAAGGGAAUACCGAUUUCGGCGAGAAACUCGCCGAAAAAACCAAACCAGUCGUCCUUUUUCUCAUGUAUUCCCUCUCUUCGAUCGAUUCUCUCCCUUUCUCAAUUUGGAUUGUCUUCUCUCCGAUCUCACGCUCAGAUUUGUCUCUCACUGUGGUUGUGUGUAUGUAUAAUGGUUUUGUGUGAAGGCAGGUGUAUUAAUGGAAUAAACUCAUCAGUGAUGGUGUCUAUAUAUUCCUCUUUCCCGUAUUCUAUAUGUGUAUAUGUUGAAUUGAGAUCUUUUUCUUUAUGGUUACCGUGAUGUUCGUCCAUGGCGUGUAGGUGUGUUCGUGGUAUAUGGGUCUUCUCUAAAAAUGGAAAAAAAUGGUCAGAAUGUUACUGUGUGGACAUCUCUGUAUUGUUAUCUAUUGUAUUCUUAUGUAUUCGCCUCCCAGUUUCUGUGUGAAGUGCGUGUGUAUAUUGUGAAUUACAGUGAGUGAGAAUUGUGUGGUAGUGGAGUAGGGUAGGUGGGCUAGUGAGGUGCGGGUAGGGGUAGGAUGUGAUGUGGUUUAUUUUGAUUGGAUGGGUUGUUAGGAUAAGAUAAAAUUAGCUAGGGAUUGUUAUUUUUGUCAUUUUGUGGAGAUUAUCACACGGGGUAGGGUACGCGGUAGGAUAAGGUAAAAAUGUGUAAAAAUGAUAUAGGGAAGGGACAAAAUUAGGUGUCUACAUCAUGCCCCCUUUGAAUGUAAACACAAAGUAUUUUUGAACAAAGAAGUAGACAACAAGACAGAAUUUUGUCCCGAUCAUUAUUCGAAGGAAAAAUAGAAGAAAGAAGAGCAAUCGAGUAUUGACUUAGGACACCCUACCUACCCAAGUUAUGAGGGAAUCAAGUGACAGGAUUCUCAAAGGAUUGAAAGGAGAUGGACUUUACCGAGUUGAAGAGUCGAGUGAGGUCCCGAUGAGGUUCCAGUCCGCGCAUCUGUUAUUACAUCAUAAAUAAAAGUUACAAGUUAAAACAUAAAUAAAAUUACAAAAUCAUAUCUAUGCAGUUAGUUUCUUUUGGACUCUUAACUUGAGUUUCAUCACUCUAUUCUUCAGGCGGGCUCCUGACUUGCAAUUUCAUCACUUGUUGCUUGGUUUUCAAUCUCUUCACCCUGUUCUUCAGGCGGGUUCCUAACUUGCUAUUUUUUCAAUCUGUUGACUUUAAAUUUCUUCACCUUGUUGCUUGACUUUCAACUUCUUCACCUUGUUACUUGACUUUCAACUUUUUCACCAUGUUGCUUGACUUUUCAUUUAUUCACCCUGCUCUUCAGGCGGGCUCCUGAAAUCACAUCAAUACUAAAAAGAAAAAUUAUCCCAAACAAAGAUUAUUAUAAAGAGAUUUCAUUUGUCAGGAAAGCGAAGUUCCAAACACAGGAUUUAAAUUUUCCCCAGUUUCUCAUCAAAGGACUUUUGGGAAAGUCACAUCAUUAUAGGAAUCAAAGGGAAUGACUAGACUAAAAGGAACAUCUUAUAAGAAUCAAAGGGAAUGACUCAACUAAAAGGUACGUCUUCUAGGAAUCAAGGGAUAUGACUCGACUAAAAGGUACUUCUUAUAGGAAUCAAGGGGCAAGGGGAAUGACUUGACUAAGUCUAAUGACUCGACUAGGGAAUGACUAGACUAAAAGGAACAUCUUAUAAGAAUCAAAGGGAAUGACUCAACUAAAAUGUACGUCUUAUAGGAAUCAAGGGGAAUGACUUGACUAAAAGGUACGUCUUUUAGGAAUCAAAUGACUCGACUAAAGGCACAUCAUCUAGGAAUCAAGGGGAAUGACUAGACUAAAAGGUACGUCUUCUAGGAAUCAAAGGUAAUGACUCGACUAAAAGGUACGUCAUCUAGGAAUCAAGGGGAAUGACUCGACUAAAAGGUACGUUUUCUAGGGGUCAAGGGGAACGAUUCAACUAAAAGGUACGUCUUCUAGGGGUCAAAGGGAAUGACUCGACUAAAAGGUACAUUUUAUAGGAAUCAAGGGGAAUGACUCGACUAAAAGGUACGUCUUCUAGGGGUCAAGAGGAAUGACUCGACUAAAAGGUACGUCUUCUAGGAAUCAAAUUAAAUAACUCGACUAAAAGGUACGCCUUAUAGGAAUCAAGGAGAAUGACUCGACUAAAAGGUACGUCUUCUAGGGGUCAAGGGAAAAGACUCGACUAAAAGAUAUGUCUUAUAGGAAUUAAAGAAGAUGACUCGAAUAAAAGGUACGUCUCAUAGGAGUGAAGGUUCAAUUUAAGAAGUGUAUCACCUAGCAAAUGAAAACUAAAAUCCCUGGACAAGAAAGUGUCUCCGAGGGAUAUAGGAUGAUGAUUUUUUACAAUGACUUGAUUAUUAAACCUGUCCAACAACAUUGUUUCCUGCAUUUGUAGGAGUGAGGCAUUGCAGACCUUGAUAUUUAUGUUCCGAAUUCCUUGAUUUAAAGGUAAUAUGUUUCCUAUUUCAUCAAAAAAAACUUGUGAGUUAAAAAAUAUGGUGGCUGGCUUGUGGCUUUAGCUUUUGCGACAAUCGCUCUUGCCCCAGUCACAUUUAACCUUGCUUCCAACCAUUAGCAUAUGUCAUUGACUUGUUGAAUCAGUGAUCCAAACUCAUAUUAGGAAGAGUGACUCUGCCACAAACACAGUAUCUCUGCUUUGCCAUGUUUCUCAGUUAAACCCUUUGAACUAUGGUAUUUCCGUGGGUUCCCAGACUUGUCUAUUGACAAAACUUUCUAUAUGUCCUUUUUUCAGCUCACAAUUAUAUCUCUUUCAUGCGCUGGCCUUUUUGUCUUGCUUUGUACAAUUGAAGAAGUUGGUAGCCAAUUUUAAAAUCUUUUCUCACUUGUUUCGACAUGGACUAGACUCAAAGACAAGAGCGAAAAUGACCAUGAUUUUUUAUUUGGAUAACUGACUCAAGAAAAAUAAAAUAAAAAUAAAACAAAGAGAAGAAAGAAAAGACAAUGAAUGUACCCAUUAAAAAAAAUAAUGAAAAAUGUAUCUAAAAAUGACAGUUAACUCUAUUGAUUAUGCCAUGCAUUUUGGAUUAAGUUGCCUGAUCUUUCAUCUAAACCUUCUACUAAUUGUUGUUGAGUUAAUGACCUUGAAACUGAAUUGCUUCCUUGGGCCAAUUUGCAUUCAAAAAUCUCAUUUGGCUAGUGGCACCUUGAAGGGUUUUCGCCAACAAGCCUCUCUCAUCUUCUUUUCCUCAACUCACCAUAGUCUUAUGGUGUCUGUAAGAGUUUUCACCAACGAGACUCUCUUAUCUUCGUUUCUCUCAACUCAUAGUCGUCUUACGAUGCCCAUGAGAGUUUUCACCGAUAAGAAUCUCUCAUUUUUAUUGCUCUCUUGAUUUCUUAUGCCGAGGAAGACAAGUGGUUCCCAAAUGCAUCAUCAUAUCCCUUGCAUGCUUAGCCUUAACAUCCUCAAAGAUUGAUCCGAAGGUCUUUCUUUGGUUGUAACUUGGCUUUUGGAUAGGGUUAGAAAGAAGGGAUGGCAUGGGGCCCAAACGGCACUUAAAGUGGGGUAGGACUUACAAUUUUUAGAAACGACUCAAAUAAUGAGGAUUAACUUAUGCCCCAGUUUUUUACUAGGCAAUUCUAAAUUAUUUAUUUGGUUGGACCAAGCCCUAAGUAGGGCAUCCUACGUAUCUCACCCCCGAGAGAAAAGAAUCGGGUCAUGCGUAGUUCUGGCAACUUGUUUUGCUUGAUUCUGAUUUCAUUUUUCUUUUGACUUCUUUUUUUUUCUUUGUAAUUUUUCUGACUCUAAUUUACUUACUUUUUUUCUUCCUUCUUGGACACAUUUUCCUCUUUUUUUGAAAAAACUUUCUGACUCUACUCUCUUGCUCUAUACUUUUCUUUUGAACUUUAUUGGUUUUAUCUUGAUUCCAAAAAAGGGGUAUGAAAGAAAAUAACACUAAGGCUUAAAUGGGGUAGACAAAGGAUGACACAAUGUUUGAAUAACAGAAUAAAAUGUCUUUGUCAUAUCAAUCCUUGAAAAUGCACGUACAUAUCAUGCAAUAUAAAAGUGAAAGAUGAAGAUCAUUUGACACCUUAAAACCACUAUCUUUAAUUGAACAUGUGUGCUACUUCUUCCUCUACACUUGUCAAACAUAUAACUCCACCUUUGUUGUAUAUCCCUUACAUUGAAUGACUCAUACUUUCGUCGAGUUGAUUUUCUUUAUAUUCCUCUUGAUAGGAUCACGCAGACACUGUUUGACCUAAUCGAGACAUGUCUUUUAAUUGAUGACCAAGUUAUUCUUGUGAUUCUCAAAAUAAUUGCCUUAAUUUUUAGAAAAGGCUUCAACUUGUCACCAAAUAUCUCAGUACUCUACUAUUUUCUUAGAUGUUUCUCCUAACUUUAGCCCUCUGAUUCAAUGUUCAUGCUUAAACUGCAUUUUAAGAUCUGACUGAAAAUUCCGCAGGCAUGUCAUAUUACUAGAAUCAACAUAAAAUAUGUUGUAUAAAGAAAACAAACAAACAACACAUUUGAAACAUAAAAGGAAAGGGACACUUCAUUUAGUUGAAAUAAAAGAUAAAAGGGUUUGAACAUAAACGACGAAGGGACAAACAAGAUAGAUCUCGAACUACAACCCUGAAAUACUUCAAAAAAUAGAAAAGAAAACAAAACAAACUACCAGACCUCUUCCUAGUGGGGAGAUGGGUGACUUCUCAUUUGCUCAGCCUGACAACUUAGCCACUGGUUUGCAUAUCAACAUGACCAGAGCUUCCCUCACUGUCAAUGUUCUGCACCAUAAUCGAUCCAUCUUGAAUCAUCUUUUCAAUUUCCCUUUUCAAAUCUCAACAAUCUUUAAUACUAUGACCCUGAGCAUCAGAAUUAUACGCACAUCAUACAUUAGGGUCAAAAUUUCUUGAACAUCGAUUAAGAGUGCACUUAAGGAGAGGAGUGAUCAUGCUCCAUUGUACCAAUUUCUGAAACAAACUAGCAUACGACUCUCUAAUUGGUGUGAAGUUAUCUCUCGACUUCUGCCUCAUUUCAUCAUUUGGCUUGGAUAAAAAAUCAGGCUUAGAAGGGUUUUGGUAUAUUUGUGAAGUUAGAGGAUGACUCUGAAUUGUUGGUGUUUUCCACUGUGGGUAAGAUGGGGGUUGAUUAUGUGGUUGUGCAUUAUAUACUGAAUAUGGAGGUGGAGGAGCAGAGUAUAAUGGAUUUUAGGAGUGAUUAUGUGGAGCUUGGGCAUGACCUUGGGUUUGAGCCUGAGAGUGGCGACAACGGGGUCUUCUUGACCGUGCCCGCUGUCCAACUACAAUAGAGGAUGCAACUUCCUCAUUCUUUGUCUCCACAAUACUUCCUGAACCCUUUUGAAUUGCUUGAGUUGUCACUUUCAAUGUUGCAAAACUCACAAUGUGACCAGUCUUAAUUCCCUCUUCUAUCAUCUCCCCCAUUUUAAGGACCUCAAUAAAUGACUUGCCUAAUGCAGGUAACAAGUUUUGAUAAUAUAUUUCAUCCUGUGCUUGAAUAAACACCUUUGCUAUUUUGCUUUCUUUCAUUGGCGAUUUUACUCUAACAGCUUGUUCGCGCCAUCUGAUCGCAUACUUUCUGAAACUCUCAGUAUUCUUCUUUUUUAUACUAGUUAGGGAUUUUUCGUCAGAGAUCAACUCCACAUUGUAUUGAAAUUGUUGCACAAAUUCAUUAGCUAGGUUAUCCCAACUAAUCUACUUGUCAAUGUCUUGGUCAACAAACCAUUUCGAAGCUAGGUCUAAAAGACUCCCCCAGAAAUAAUCCUUGAGUAGUUCUUCCUUCCCUCUAGCGCCCCUCAAUUGGUUACAAUAGCGACUCAAAUGUGCCACUGGGUCCCCAUGUCCAUCAUAGUUCUCAAACUUUGGCAUUUUAAAGUCAGGUGGAAAGUUGACACCUGGAAACAUGCAUAAGUCCUUAUAUGAGACACUUUUGUAACCCUCAAGUCCUUGCAAGUUCUUCAUAGCCAGUUCCAAACUUCUCAAUUUUUUGGUCAUUUCCUCUUGUCCUUCUUUCAUAACAAGCUUCUCAGUGUUAGGAGGAAAUUCAAGUGGGUGAGUGUCACUGUAAAGACCAGUCAACUUGAAUGUAGGCUCGAAAGUGUACCGCUGAUCACCAGUAAUAUUCAAUCCAGGCUUUCUUGUAGAGUAGGGAGGCACAACUUGUGGACGAACAUCAAAAGUAGGAGCUUCAGGUGGGGGUGGCACCGCAAAAGCAUGAACAACAGGUGAAGCCGAGUAUGUGGUAGUCUUGGAUUGGGGAGUGAGGAAAUAAACAUUAGAAGUGGUUGGGUAUUGUUGCCCCAAAGUCGAUCCUGAUGCAUGUUGUGGCAUAUCAACAAAAAUGGGAAAUUGUGCAUAUGACACGAGAGGCAAGAUGGAAAGAUAUUCCAGAUUAUCAGUGGGAACUGGAGGAGGAGGUAACCCAUUAGCCCAAGCUCGAUGCAUUCCUAUCAUUUGCUGCCUCAAUUUCCGAAUCACUUCAUUAGCUCCUACAUUCUCACUUCUCAAACUCCCUAUCUGAUAGUGACAACAAACUCGGUAUCCUUGUUAGCCAUAACCUUCUCUAUGACUUGGUGCAAUAUGGAGGACCAGCUAAAAUGCCACAACCCAACCACCUCAAACUAACUGAACAAGAGAUAACAAAUGCGUUAGAGUCUAACACUUUCUCAAAAUCUCCCCUUUUUUUCUUUUUGAAAAGGUCACCGAACCCAAGAAGGCUACCUACGUAUAUCACCCCCUGAGAGAGGAGAAUCAGGUGUGCGUAGUUCAUGAAAUCUUGCCAAAAUGGUCAAAUAAACUCUUUUUCUUUUUCUUGAAACUUUAAAAAUAAAAGGAAAUAACAAAUUGUCAAAAGAAUUGACGAAAAUCUUUUUUGCAUUUUUCGGCUUUAAUAACCUAUACAAAAUGAAACCUAUGAUUACCAAAGAAAAGUCAUUUUGGAUUUUCGAUUUUGAAUUUCAUAUGAAAAUAAAACUUGAAACUAUUAAAGGAAAAUGUUUUUGUAGUUUUCUUUUUAGAGAUGUAUAUAAAACACUUACUUUAAAUAAAGAGUGAAGAAAAUCUUUUAGAAUUUUUCAAAUAAGAUCCCCGAACCAAAAAUAGGUUGCCUACAUAUCUCACAUCCCGAAAGAGGAGAAUCAGGGGUGCGUAGUUCAUCCAGAUUGGAAAAUUAAUGAUUAAAUAAUCGACUAAACCCGGACUUGAGAUACCAGACCACAAACAGAAGAUGAAAAACAUCAAUAAAAUCUUUUUAAGUUUUCAAUUUGACACUUAACCUAAAAAUGACACCAAUAAAUAUGCAAGGAAAAUCUUUUUUGAUAUUUUCGUUAUACGAAAUGUAUAAAACUUCUACCAGUUUUUAAAUUUUUCUUUUAUAAAAGGCUCCUAUUGAAAAAUAAUCUUUUUGAAAUUUUUGAAUUAUGAAUGCAUGCUAAAGGAGACAAAGCAAAAAACUUUCUGAUGUUUUUGAUUUUUGAGAAAUGAGUGCAAAAGGAAAAAAAAUCUUUCUGAAUUUUGAAUUUUGAAAAACAAAAGCCAUAAAGAACUCUGAAAACUAGAAACUCUCUUUUUUUUUCUUUUUGACUCACUAUUCUUUUUUUUUUUUUUUUUUUUACUUCUAACACAUGUUUUCCCCAAAUUAGUCCAUCAAAUGACCAUAUUACCCUCAAAGAUGCAACAAUUAACACGUAGGGAUGCUUUAGAGGCAAGUCUCCUACAAAAGGCCAAGUGGGCCCCUCUAGGUCUUCAAUAUGAUGCAUAUAAACAUGACCUACAAGGUGACCUACGUUGGGGUUCACUAACAAGGCUGUUCGGAGGAGCGUAUAGUCGAUAGUGGCUGCUUUGCUUUCCACCUACUCCAUAACAUCGAUGGCUCCUCCCCUAAAAUAAGGGUGACUCAACUAGAGGUCGUGUACAACACGUGUACUAUGGACUUGUUGCAGAAAGAAUGACUCGGGCUAUGCACAUGAUGCUAGAUAUAAAGCAGCAACACAUAAGAUAAAAUUAUAAACAAAGAGCAUGUAGGCACUCAAAAAAAUAACAAAAAGCAACGCAAAUAUAUGUCUAUACACGUAUAGUGACAAACUAAGCCGAUACAACUCCAAAUUAAGCUUGAAUUCUGAAAAUAGAUCUCCAACGGAGUCGCCAGAGCUGUCACACCCCUUUUUAACUCCAAAAAGAUAUUAUUUUAAAAGUUUGAAAGGGUUUUCGUUAUAAGUGACAAAAGAUAAAAAUUUGCUUCGAAAAGGACCUUUUAUAUUCAAAACUCAGAGUCGCCACUUGGCAUAAUCCGGUGUGCCAAGUCACCUUUGAAAAAUCCUUUUCAAAACGAUUUGACUCAAACUGGUUUGCGAACAGAGAUUUCAGCUAAGGAAUUCUGUUGACCGACGGAAAGGUGUUAGGCACCCCUCGAUCCUGUGGUUUGAACACGGUCGCUUGUUGGAGCGUAUCGGCUAAUUUGACACCACGAAUGUAUAAACCACACAAAAGCACGCAAAACAAUCAAUCAAGCAAAAAAAAUAAAAACAAUCCAAAAUUUGGUGUCCAGUCCAAUUUAUUACAAAUUGAAAUAGAAAAUACUGAAUAAACCUACACUAACCUAUACUAGUCCUAAAUUAAACUCUACCCGAUGCCUUGGGCCUUCAUCACAGACAUCCUCCGUGUACAAAAUACCUCAGGGCAUUCCCCAACGAAUAAACACAAAUACCUCGGGGCAUUCCCCAGCCAAAUGAAUACAUUUUCAAUGCAAGAAGACCACAAUCAUUCAAUAAUAUUUCAAACAUUCCACAAUUUAUAAUCCCUAAAUUUGCCUAUCACCCCUAUUGUUUGCCUAUCGAUUUGACGACCUAAUCUUGAUACUAUUAAGUUCGAUGACAUCAAUGAAUUAAAAUUAGUCCGUAUUCAUUUUUUUACUUUUCAAAUCCCGUCUCACUUUCAUUCUUGAUCAAUUAACCAAUUCCAAUACAGAAUCAACCAAUCAAAACUACGAUAAUCAUAGACGUUCAAACAUACUAUCAAAAAUUAUAUCAUCAAUCAACAUGAACCACGCAACUCACAACAUCACCUCACCAAAUUAAGUAAAACAAAGAGGAGGAGUUGAAGAAUUGGACCUUAGAAGAAGCUUUCAAAAUUGAUGUAUUAUUCCAAUAAAAACCCGGUACAAUCCGCGUCGAGAACCUCGAUUCAUACCUCAAUCACGAACUUGCCAACUCGAUCAAAACCCCAAAACAAUGGAGAAAACCACAAAAAAAAAAAAUCCAAAUCUCAAUUUUCGAACCAAGCUUGAAACGAGUCACGCUAGGUUUGCUAUUUUUGGUGAAGUUCGAACUCGCUGAAGCUCCGAUGGAUCUCGGCAGUCAGCGAAACAAUGUUUUCCCAGUGAGAUUUUGCCAGAGAACUAGAAACGAAAGAGAAUUCGAAGAUUUUGAGGGUGCGGAUGGUCUAAUUCCGGUAAGGGAAUACCGAUUUCGGUGAGAAACUCGCCGGAAAAACCAAACCAGCCGUCCUUUUUCUCAUGUAUUCCCUCUCUCCGAUCGAUUCUCUCCCUUUCUCGAUUUGGAUUGUCUUCUCUCCGAUCUCACGCUCAGAUUUGUCUCUCACUGUGGUUGUGUGUAUGUAUAAUGGUUUUGUGUGAAGGCAGGUGUAUUAAUGGAAUAAACUCAUCAGUGAUGGUGUCUAUAUAUUCCUCUUUCCCGUAUUCUAUAUGUGUAUAUGUUGAAUUGGGAUCUUUUUCUUUAUGGUUACCGUGAUGUUCGUCAAUGGCGUAUAGGUGUGUUCGUGCUAUAUGGGUCUUCUCUAAAAAUGGAAAAAUAUGGUCAGAAUGUUACUGUGGGGACAUCUAUAUUGUUAUCUAUUGUAUUCUUAUGUAUUCGCCUCCCUAUUUCUAUGUGAAGUAUAUGUGUAUAUUGUGAAUUCCAG
This 17158-nucleotide long non-coding RNA is filed under the name Capsicum annuum. RNAcentral's name for it is "long non-coding RNA (CANN_LNC022006)". The record is from RNAcentral. Lineage: Eukaryota; Viridiplantae; Streptophyta; Magnoliopsida; Solanales; Solanaceae.